This 492-nucleotide ribosomal RNA is filed under the name uncultured bacterium. RNAcentral's name for it is "partial 16S ribosomal RNA". It matches the Rfam family "Bacterial small subunit ribosomal RNA", at positions 29 to 507 of the family's 1533-position model. The record is from RNAcentral.
AGUGAACGCUGGCGGUAGGCCUAACACAUGCAAGUCGAACGGCAGCACAGUAAGAGCUUGCUCUUAUGGGUGGCGAGUGGCGGACGGGUGAGGAAUACAUCGGAAUCUACUUUUUCGUGGGGGAUAACGUAGGGAAACUUACGCUCAUACCGCAUACGACCUACGGGUGAAAGCAGGGGAUCUUCGGACCUUGCGCGAUUGAAUGAGCCGAUGUCGGAUUAGCUAGUUGGCGGGGUAAAGGCCAACCAAGGCGACGAUCCGUAGCUGGUCUGAGUGGAUGAUCAGCCGCACUGGAACUGAGACACGGUCCAGACGCCUACGGGAGGCAGCAGUGGGGAAUAUUGGACAAUGGGCGCAAGCCUGAUCCAGCCAUACCGCGUGGGUGAAGAAGGCCUUCGGGUUGGAAAGCCCUUUUGUGGGGAAAGAAAAGCAGCAGGUUAAUACCCCGCUGUUCUGACGGUACCCAAAGAAUAAGCACCGGCUAACUUCGUG